CCUCCUCAAAAGAUCCCGAGAUCCAGUUUUCAAAGCAGAUCGGCCGUUCUUAUUUCUACUGCAACAGGUUCACACAGUGGUGAAAUAAAAAACCAUCCAGGAAACUUUUCUACAUUGAUGCAACGUUUCCCAGAGCUUCAUCUGAUGACCUGAAACAGAACUGACCUGCUGAUGGAGGACCUGUUGAAGAACCCUAACUCUGUAACUGAUGAAGAUAAAGAAGAAGGUUUUCCUGUCAGGUGUAACUGAUGAUGAUGAAGGUUUUCCUGUCAGGUGUUACUGAUGAAGGUGACGAUGGGGGACGACUGGGGGACCCUGAGGGGGUCAGCUGGAGUCUUCCUCUUGGACGUCCCUUAGUUCUGCCCCUAGUUCUGCUGCUACAGGCCUAGGCUGCUGGAGGACCUCUCUGGAUGCACUGAGCCCUUCUCUAUCUACCAUUGUAUUUAAUAUACAGUAUAUAUACCAUUAUUGCAUUACACUCACUCUGUUUCUCCCUGUGUCCUUUCUCCGAGUGUCCCUGAUCCCAGAGC
Amphiprion ocellaris (clown anemonefish) is the source of this 530-nucleotide long non-coding RNA. The record is from Ensembl. Lineage: Eukaryota; Metazoa; Chordata; Actinopteri; Pomacentridae.